CGUGAUCCCCAACAAGCUCCUCGGCGUGCUCUCCAUGGCCGCGGUGCCCGUCGGUCUCAUCACCGUGCCCUUCCUGGAGUCCAUCAACAAGUUCCAGAACCCCUUCCGCCGCCCCGUGGCCACCUCCGUCUUCCUCAUCGGCACCUUCUACGCCAUCUGGAUGGGCAUCGGCGCCACCAUGCCCAUCGACAAGGCCAUCUCCCUUGGCGUCUUCUAAAUUGCUUAUCCUUAGGCUAUUUCUUGGGCGGGGACGCGCUUGGGCGCCAGGCAUGGCGUGAGCGCGUUUUGUACGUGGGUGCGGUGAGCUUUGGUUCCGUUCGAUUAGCGUAGACGCUGGAAUGCUG
RNAcentral lists this long non-coding RNA (344 nucleotides) under Micromonas commoda. RNAcentral's name for it is "long non-coding RNA (MCOM_LNC000128)". The record is from RNAcentral. Lineage: Eukaryota; Viridiplantae; Chlorophyta; Mamiellophyceae; Mamiellales; Mamiellaceae.